GACAGAGGUGCCGAGCGUUAGGCGGAAUCACUGGGCUUAAAGCGUGUGUAGGCGGGCGGGCAAGUACCUUGUGAAAUCCCGCGGCUCAACCGUGGAACGGCUGGGUAUACUGCCUGUCUUGAGCCAACUAGGGGCGAGCGGAACAGACGGUGGAGCGGUGAAAUGCGUAGAUAUCGUCUGGAACGCCGAAGGUGAAAACAGCUCGCUGGGGUUGUGCUGACGCUGAGACACGAAAGCCAGGGGAGCGAACGGG
RNAcentral lists this ribosomal RNA (253 nucleotides) under uncultured bacterium. RNAcentral's name for it is "partial 16S ribosomal RNA". It matches the Rfam family "Bacterial small subunit ribosomal RNA", at positions 524 to 776 of the family's 1533-position model. The record is from RNAcentral.